This 89-nucleotide non-coding RNA is filed under the name Pseudomonas sp. ok266. Lineage: Bacteria; Pseudomonadati; Pseudomonadota; Gammaproteobacteria; Pseudomonadales; Pseudomonadaceae. The record is from RNAcentral.
UGUAGGAGUGAGCCUGCUCGCGAUACCGGACUGUCAGUCACCUCAUCUUUGGCUGACACUCCGCUAUCGCGAGCAGGCUCACUCCUACA